AAUCAACGCUGGCGGCGUGCUUAACACAUGCAAGUCGAGCGGUAAGGCCCCUUCGGGGGUACACGAGCGGCGAACGGGUGAGUAACACGUGGGUGACCUGCCCUCAGCUCUGGGAUAAGCCUGGGAAACUGGGUCUAAUACCGGAUAUGACUCCAUGACGCAUGUCGUGGGGUGGAAAGCCUUGUGCGGCUGGGGAUGGGCCCGCGGCCUAUCAGCUUGUUGGUGGGGUGANGGCCUACCAAGGCGACGACGGGUAGCCGGCCUGAGAGGGCGACCGGCCACACUGGGACUGAGACACGGCCCAGACUCCUACGGGAGGCAGCAGUGGGGAAUCUUGCGCAAUGGGCGAAAGCCUGACGCAGCGACGCCGCGUGAGGGAUGACGGCC
RNAcentral lists this ribosomal RNA (387 nucleotides) under uncultured bacterium. Its description in RNAcentral is "bacterial SSU rRNA". It matches the Rfam family "Bacterial small subunit ribosomal RNA", at positions 28 to 416 of the family's 1533-position model. The record is from RNAcentral.